This 73-nucleotide transfer RNA is filed under the name Neolecta irregularis DAH-3. It matches the Rfam family "tRNA". Rfam says of the family: Transfer RNA (tRNA) molecules are approximately 80 nucleotides in length. Their secondary structure includes four short double-helical elements and three loops (D, anti-codon, and T loops). Lineage: Eukaryota; Fungi; Ascomycota; Neolectomycetes; Neolectales; Neolectaceae. The record is from Rfam by way of RNAcentral.
UGGGUUGUUGACUAACAGGUAAGUCACUGAAAUUUGGCUUCAGUCUAUGAAAGUUCGAAUCUUUCCAACCCAU